RNAcentral lists this ribosomal RNA (398 nucleotides) under uncultured bacterium. RNAcentral describes it as "bacterial SSU rRNA". It matches the Rfam family "Bacterial small subunit ribosomal RNA", at positions 357 to 772 of the family's 1533-position model. The record is from RNAcentral.
GGGAAUAUUGGACAAUGGGCGCAAGCCUGAUCCAGCCAUGCCGCGUGAGUGAUGACGGCCUUAGGGUUGUAAAGCUCUUUCGCACGCGACGAUAAUGACGGUAGCGUGAGAAGAAGCCCCGGCUAACUUCGUGCCAGCAGCCGCGGUAAUACGAAGGGGGCUAGCGUUGUUCGGAAUUACUGGGCGUAAAGCGCGUGUAGGCGGGCUUUUAAGUCAGGGGUGAAAUGCCGAGGCUCAACCUCGGAACUGCCUCUGAUACUGGAAGUCUUGAGUCCGGAAGAGGUGAGUGGAACUGCGAGUGUAGAGGUGAAAUUCGUAGAUAUUCGCAAGAACACCAGUGGCGAAGGCGGCUCACUGGUCCGGAACUUACGCUGAGACGCGAAAGCGUGGGGAGCAAA